This 429-nucleotide ribosomal RNA is filed under the name Bacteroidota bacterium. RNAcentral's name for it is "Bacteroidetes bacterium partial 16S ribosomal RNA". It matches the Rfam family "Bacterial small subunit ribosomal RNA", at positions 355 to 776 of the family's 1533-position model. The record is from RNAcentral. Lineage: Bacteria; Pseudomonadati; Bacteroidota.
UAGGGAAUCUUCCGCAAUGGACGCAAGUCUGACGGAGCAACGCCGCGUGAGUGAAGAAGGAUUUCGGUUCGUAAAACUCUGUUGUUAGAGAAGAACAGCGCAUAGAGUAACUGUUAUGCGUGUGACGGUAUCUAACCAGAAAGCCACGGCUAACUACAUGCCAGCAGCCGCGGUAAUACGUAGGUGGCAAGCGUUGUCCGGAUUUAUUGGGCGUAAAGCGAGCGCAGGCGGUCAAUUAAGUCUGAUGUGAAAGCCCCCGGCUCAACCGGGGAGGGUCAUUGGAAACUGGUUGACUUGAGUGCAGAAGAGGAGAGUGGAAUUCCAUGUGUAACGGUGAAAUGCGUAGAUAUAUGGAGGAACACCAGUGGCGAAGGCGACUCUCUGGUCUGUAACUGACGCUGAGGUUCGAAAGCGUGGGUAGCAAACAGG